CAUUCCUCCCCCUUCUCCCCCGCAUUUCUCGCUCCCGAGAGCGGCGACGGCGUUCAGCGGCGGCUCGAGGCGCACCGGCCAUGGCGGCGCGGCGGCUGCGCUCGUCGGAGGAGGGUACAGCGGAGUCAUUCCCGCGCGCUUCUCCAUCGAGCGUGGCUCCGGCGCCCGUGCGCAUGGCACAUCAAGGGGGCAAGAGGGGCGCCGGCCACCGCGUCAUGAAGAAUAGUAGUGAUGCAUUCUCUUCCGACAUGCUCCAAAUGAUGGUUAUUUAGCAGGAUUGGUAAGACAAGCUUCUGGAGAUUGGUUUCUCAUGCAGCUCCUUGUGAUGUUGAAAUUAGUGCAUCGUUCAUUUCUUUCCUUGCUUCCUGUAACAGUGAACUACGGCAUAAGCUUCUCUGAGCAGCUUUUUAUGGUGUUUCCGUCCUUUAAUUUCCCAGCAAUUGUGUCAAAGUACCAACCUCAGAGUUGAAAGUGAGAGCCGCAGUUUUUUUUUCACGGAUCAAAUAGGAAUCACUACCACAGUACUGGCCUAACUUUCGUACUAAUGCCUAAAUCAACCGCCUGGGAAGAAGUAACAUCAUCCUUAUUUUCUAGGUGGACAAUUUUUUGACAUGCCAUAUUCUUUGUCGGGACAGCAAAAUUAUUUUCACAUGAGAACCUCACACAAAAUCGCUGUUUAAAUCAUUGUUGGAUGUUCCAUUCUUUGAUUAUUUUGAUACAUUCAAACUAAGAAUGAUGCAAGAAAAAAUCCUUCAUUGUUCUGGAGAGGUGUUGGAGGCUCUGAGCUGCAUAUUCUGAUAACAUAACUGUCAAUUCACUGAUGGGAUUACGCCAAAUACAUAAUAAGACCAAACACUGUUUCUACGAAUUAGCAUCAAGUUGCCAGGAGCAGUGAAGCGCCAAUAAUGUUCAACUAUGGUGCUUGAGGAGAUGGAUAUAAGCGUCGAGAAGGGAGCAGUGACGAAGCAGAGGUAGACGUGGACAUGUGCGGUAGGAGCCAAGGGGGGAACGGGGAAACGCGGACACGAGAUUCGUGAACCCAGAGAAGAGAAGGUAUGCGAUCUCGUCCACCUCGGCUGUGUCAGCCGCCGCCAGUGCCACCGUGUCCCGCCUCGCCUGGCCUGGUCGCAACAAAAAGUAUGACUGCAGGUGUGGUUCAUUCAGUUUUGCAGUUUGAUUUACUUGCUUGUGCGUGUGUGUGUGUGUGUGUGUGUACUAAGAGAGAGGGAGAGAUUAUUCUGCUCUAGCCAGUCGUAUUUCUGUGAUAAAUCUGCUCCCCUCCACUCCUUUUUUAUUUGCCUAAAAUCUGAACAUGAAAAGCAGUUACAAAUUGAGAGCAACAAAGUAAAUGUUCAAAAAUUUAGAGCCGUGCAUGCUUUUGAGAUUCAGAGGAGUGUAAGCUGGAAGAUGGGUUGCCAUGCUUUGUAAGUAUGAUUAGUUGGAGUACUAUUCCAUCCGAUGCCAGUGCAAAGUCGAAGUAGGCGCUGACGAAGGACGUUAGGGUCUGUUCUUCACAUCAACACUUCAUUGUCCAAACAGGCUGGCGCGUCGCCCUUGUUUUUUUUUCAUUUUUCAUUUUGUUUUUCCCUUCUCCAAAUUUCAAAAUGUUGCGAAUUUUGAAAAACAUGUUCGAGAAAUUAUAAACUGUUUGUGAAUUCAAAAAUAUGUGGGAAAUCAUAAAAAUUUCACAGUUUCAAAAAAUAUUAGUAAUUUUACAAAAUUGUUCGCAAAUUUAAAAAAAAUCACAAUUUGUAAAAAAAAUAUCCGCAAAUAAAACCAUGUUCCGGAUUUUGAAAAAAUAAUCAUGUAUUCGAAACAAAUUCGUGAAUCUGACAAAAAUGUCCAUCAAAUUAAGAGCUACCUUGCCAAGUGUCGCUUAGCAGAUGGUCUACACAGUACAACUAAAACCAAAAUAUUUUCUUAAAAAAAUUUGUGCAGAUUCAAGUAUUUUUUUCUAUAUUCAUAUCUUUCAAACCCAAGCUCUAAAUUUAGCACACUAUUUAUGAAAAUAGCUCAGAAAAGUUUGUAGUUCUAAAUAUGAUGUUAUCUUGCAUGUUAAUUAUUUUUAUGUGCACAAUUAAUUAGUACUUUUCCUUUUCUAUUAAACGCAUGGAUGUUUCUUACUCCCAUUUUUCGUACGUCACUUAUUAUCAGAUUUUCAUCCGUCGUUUGGUUCAUCCAUUUGCACAUAAAAU
Triticum urartu is the source of this 2195-nucleotide long non-coding RNA. RefSeq lists it as uncharacterized. Lineage: Eukaryota; Viridiplantae; Streptophyta; Magnoliopsida; Poales; Poaceae. The record is from RefSeq and is a predicted model, not a curated record.